This is a non-coding RNA of Strongylocentrotus purpuratus (purple sea urchin), 72 nucleotides long. NCBI's taxonomy places the organism in Eukaryota, Metazoa, Echinodermata, Echinoidea, Camarodonta, Strongylocentrotidae. The record is from Rfam.
GCAUUGCUGGUGUAAUUGUAACACACAUGUUUUCAUAAUGCUGGAACACUGGUUCGAGUCCAGGGCAGUGUA